AUUUAUUUAGUAUAAUAAGUACAAUUGAUUUCCAAUCAAAAAGUCUAAAAUUUAGAAUAAAUA
This 63-nucleotide transfer RNA is filed under the name Iris polystictica. Its description in RNAcentral is "tRNA-Gly". Lineage: Eukaryota; Metazoa; Arthropoda; Insecta; Mantodea; Eremiaphilidae. The record is from RNAcentral.